AGUGAACGCUGGCGGUAGGCCUAACACAUGCAAGUCGAACGGCAGCACAGUAAGAGCUUGCUCUUACGGGUGGCGAGUGGCGGACGGGUGAGGAAUACAUCGGAAUCUACUUUUUCGUGGGGGAUAACGUAGGGAAACUUACGCUAAUACCGCAUACGACCUACGGGUGAAAGCAGGGGAUCUUCGGACCUUGCGCGAUAGAAUGAGCCGAUGUCGGAUUAGCUAGUUGGCAGGGUAAAGGCCCACCAAGGCGACGAUCCGUAGCUGGUCUGAGAGGAUGAUCAGCCACACUGGAACUGAGACACGGUCCAGACUCCUACGGGAGGCAGCAGUGGGGAAUAUUGGACAAUGGGCGCAAGCCUGAUCCAGCCAUACCGCGUGGGUGAAGAAGGCCUUCGGGUUGUAAAGCCCUUUUGUUGGGAAAGAAAAGCAGCAGGUUAAUCCCCCGCUGUUCUGACGGUACCCAAAGAAUAAGCACCGGCUAACUUCGUG
RNAcentral lists this ribosomal RNA (492 nucleotides) under uncultured bacterium. RNAcentral describes it as "partial 16S ribosomal RNA". It matches the Rfam family "Bacterial small subunit ribosomal RNA", at positions 29 to 507 of the family's 1533-position model. The record is from RNAcentral.